GAUGAACGCUAGCGAUAGGCUUAACACAUGCAAGUCGAGGGGCAGCAUGAUCUUAGCUUGCUAAGGUCGAUGGCGACCGGCGCACGGGUGCGUAACGCGUAUGCAACUUGCCUUACAGAGGGGGAUAACCCGUUGAAAGACGGACUAAAACCGCAUACACUUGUAUUAUUGCAUGAUAUUACAAGGAAAUAUUUAUAGCUGUAAGAUAGGCAUGCGUCCCAUUAGCUGGUUGGUGAGGUAACGGCUCACCAAGGCGGCGAUGGGUAGGGGAACUGAGAGGUUUAUCCCCCACACUGGUACUGAGACACGGACCAGACUCCUACGGGAGGCAGCAGUGAGGAAUAUUGGUCAAUGGGCGAGAGCCUGAACCAGCCAAGUCGCGUGAAGGAAGACAGUCCUAAGGAUUGUAAACUUCUUUUAUACGGGAAUAACGGGCGAUACGAGUAUUGCAUUGAAUGUACCGUAAGAAUAAGCAUCGGCUAACUCCGUGCCAGCAGCCGCGGUAAUACGGAGGAUGCGAGCGUUAUCCGGAUUUAUUGGGUUUAAAGGGUGCGUAGGUUGUUCGGUAAGUCAGCGGUGAAACCUGAGCGCUCAACGUUCAGCCUGCCGUUGAAACUGCCGGGCUUGAGUUCAGUGGCGGCAGGCGGAAUUCGUGGUGUAGCGGUGAAAUGCAUAGAUAUCACGAGGAACUCCGAUUGCGAAGGCAGCUUGCCAUACUGCGACUGACACUGAAGCACGAAGGCGUGGGUAUCAAACAGG
This 759-nucleotide ribosomal RNA is filed under the name uncultured Porphyromonas sp. Its description in RNAcentral is "bacterial SSU rRNA". It matches the Rfam family "Bacterial small subunit ribosomal RNA", at positions 28 to 776 of the family's 1533-position model. The record is from RNAcentral. Lineage: Bacteria; Pseudomonadati; Bacteroidota; Bacteroidia; Bacteroidales; Porphyromonadaceae.